RNAcentral lists this long non-coding RNA (253 nucleotides) under Lathyrus oleraceus (garden pea). RNAcentral's name for it is "Pisum sativum (pea) long non-coding RNA (PSAT_LNC013784)". The record is from RNAcentral. Lineage: Eukaryota; Viridiplantae; Streptophyta; Magnoliopsida; Fabales; Fabaceae.
GAUAAUUUUUCUUGUUAUUUCUCAUUUUCACUAUCAUUAUAUUUUUUUUAUUUUUUCUAACCAUUAUUAAUAUGUUCAAUUGAAGUUUCAUUUUGUCCAAAAUAUUUACUCAAGCAACACACUCUCAAACAAAAAGGAAAAACCCCAUCAAAAAGAUCCCAAAACAGACCAAAAACACACCCAAGGCCCAAAAAUUCGAAAAAGCCCAACUGCCAGAAAACAGAACUUGUGUCAUUCACCACUAAUAGAUGUU